RNAcentral lists this ribosomal RNA (491 nucleotides) under uncultured bacterium. Its description in RNAcentral is "partial 16S ribosomal RNA". It matches the Rfam family "Bacterial small subunit ribosomal RNA", at positions 28 to 507 of the family's 1533-position model. The record is from RNAcentral.
GAUGAACGCUAGCUACAGGCUUAACACAUGCAAGUCGCGGGGGAGCAGGGGGGUUGCUUGCAACCCCUGAUGGCGACCGUCGCACGGGUGAGUAACGCGUACCCAACCGGCCCUUCACCACGGGAUAACCCGGCGAAAGUCGGACUAAUACCGUAGGUUGUCCAUUGACGGCAUCCGAUUUGUGCGAAAUGCUUGGCGGUUGAAGGGUGGGGAUGCGUCCGAUUAGCUUGACGGCGGGGUAACGUCCGAGCGUGGCUACGAUCGGUAGGGGUUCUGAGAGGAAGGUCCCCCACAAUGGAGCUGAGACACGGUACAGACACCUACGGGAGGCAGCAGUGAGGAAUAUUGGUCAAUGGGCGUAAGCCUGAACCAGCCAAGUAGCGUGCAGGAUGACGGCCCUAUGGGUUGUAAACUGCUUUUAUGCGGGGAUAAAGUGGCCCACGUGUGGGCUUUUGCAGGUACCGCAUGAAUAAGGACCGGCUAAUUCCGUG